This 85-nucleotide transfer RNA is filed under the name Arthrobacter sp. U41. RNAcentral's name for it is "tRNA-Leu". It matches the Rfam family "tRNA". From Rfam's summary of the family: Transfer RNA (tRNA) molecules are approximately 80 nucleotides in length. Their secondary structure includes four short double-helical elements and three loops (D, anti-codon, and T loops). The record is from RNAcentral. Lineage: Bacteria; Bacillati; Actinomycetota; Actinomycetes; Micrococcales; Micrococcaceae.
GCGCGAGUGGUGAAAUUGGCAGACACGCAGGAUUUAGGUUCCUGUGCCUUCGGGCGUGGGGGUUCAAAUCCCCCCUUGCGCACCU